CCUACGGGCGGCAGCAGUGGGGAAUAUUGGGCAAUGGAGGCAACUCUGACCCAGCAACGCCGCGUGAAUGAUGAAGGUCUUCGGAUUGUAAACUCCUUUUGUGAGAGAAGAUAAUGACGGUAUCUCACGAAUAAGCACCGGCUAACUCCGUGCCAGCAGCCGCGGUAAUACGGAGGGUGCAAGCGUUACUCGGAAUCACUGGGCGUAAAGAGUGCGCAGGCGGGUUUGUAAGUCAGAUGUGAAAUCCUGUAGCUUAACUACAGAACUGCAUUUGAAACUAUGAGUCUAGAGUGUGGGAGAGGUAGGUGGAAUUCUUGGUGUAGGGGUAAAAUCCGUAGAUAUCAAGAGGAAUACUCAUUGCGAAGGCGACCUACUGGAACAUUACUGACGCUCAUGCACGAAAGCGUGGGGAGCAAACAGGAUUAGAUACCCGAGUAGUC
This 440-nucleotide ribosomal RNA is filed under the name uncultured bacterium. RNAcentral describes it as "partial 16S ribosomal RNA". It matches the Rfam family "Bacterial small subunit ribosomal RNA", at positions 338 to 795 of the family's 1533-position model. The record is from RNAcentral.